CAUAACUUCAGCUCUUUUAAAAUAUAAACAAAUUUACUUAGAUAAUUUAUAGAGCUCAAAUGUAAUUUAUAGAGCUCAAAUGUGGAGACACUUGGCUCAAAUGUGGAAAUUUCUUUUUUCCUGUUAUCAAUACAUCCCAACAUGCAUUUUUUCCUUGAGCUUUUUCACAUAUCAACUUGAAUUCAGAAGCUUGAUUUGUAUGAAAACAACCAAUAUGCAUGUGUUUUCUCCAAAUUCAUUUCCAUUAUAUGUCAAAAUGAUUACCUUCCACAAAGCUGCAAUCCAAAACCAAUAAGCUAAUGAACAAAAGAGCAUACAUAGUUAUGUUUACAAAUGAUAUUGAGGUGCAGAACCCAAAAGAUACUAUGAAGUACAAAACCUGUACUCCAAAAUCUAAUGUGCCAUCUUUCACUUCCACAUCUGAUGGUUAUAUAUGAUAUGCCACAAAUAUUACUUUUAGUUGCUUCAACUAUACAACAAAAGAACACAAACCAAAAAAGAAUCGUCUAUGGUAAUUCACAAUACAGCCAAAGGAAAAAUAG
RNAcentral lists this unclassified non-coding RNA (542 nucleotides) under Hevea brasiliensis (rubber tree). Lineage: Eukaryota; Viridiplantae; Streptophyta; Magnoliopsida; Malpighiales; Euphorbiaceae. The record is from RNAcentral.